Molecule: signal recognition particle RNA, 101 nt
Filed under: Peptoanaerobacter stomatis
Lineage: Bacteria; Bacillati; Bacillota; Clostridia; Peptostreptococcales; Filifactoraceae
Description: Bacterial signal recognition particle RNA
Rfam family: Bacterial small signal recognition particle RNA
About the family: The signal recognition particle (SRP) is a universally conserved ribonucleoprotein involved in the co-translational targeting of proteins to membranes. Archaeal SRP consists of a 7S RNA and homologues of the eukaryotic SRP19 and SRP54 proteins.
Source: RNAcentral
AAUAUGGUCUUGUGCAAUACAGAUUUAUGAACCCCGUCAGGUCAGGAAUGAAGCAGCGGUAAGUAAACACCUGUAUGUGAUACAAGGGUGCUGUAUUUGAG